Molecule: transfer RNA, 76 nt
Filed under: Gammaproteobacteria bacterium
Lineage: Bacteria; Pseudomonadati; Pseudomonadota; Gammaproteobacteria
Description: tRNA-Glu
Rfam family: tRNA
About the family: Transfer RNA (tRNA) molecules are approximately 80 nucleotides in length. Their secondary structure includes four short double-helical elements and three loops (D, anti-codon, and T loops). Further hydrogen bonds mediate the characteristic L-shaped molecular structure. tRNAs have two regions of fundamental functional importance: the anti-codon, which is responsible for specific mRNA codon recognition, and the 3' end, to which the tRNAs corresponding amino acid is attached (by aminoacyl-tRNA synthetases). tRNAs cope with the degeneracy of the genetic code in two manners: having more than one tRNA (with a specific anti-codon) for a particular amino acid; and 'wobble' base-pairing, i.e. permitting non-standard base-pairing at the 3rd anti-codon position.
Source: RNAcentral
GAACCGGUACGCAAACGAUAAAGCGGCCAGGCUCUCAACCUGGUGAUUGUGGGUUCAACUCCCAUCCGGUUUACCA